UAGUUCCUCUUGUGAACCCGGGCCGGUGACCUUGCCGUUUCUCCCUUGGCCGGUCGGGAGUGGAACUCAGGAGAACCUGCCCUGGGCAACACGAGGAUGAGAGCAGCGGUUCUCUAAAGUGUGCUGUGGGGGACCCUGCAGAUCUCAGGGUCCUUUCAGGGAGUCUGUGUCAAAACGAGUUUCAUAAUAAUAGUGAGGCGUCACUGCCCCUUUUCAUUCUUGUGGGAAUUUUCCAGAGGCGACCUGAUGUGUGUGUGUGAUGAAGUCACUGCUCUGAUGACUAACGUAAUGCGUGCUUGUAUAUUCUUGUGUUUUCUACAGUUUCCUAAGAGCAGUGUGGUGGCUGCUUAGCUACUACAACUUUGGAAUUGAAUGCCCCAUCUGUGCGACCAUGUCAUCUACUUAACCUUGCAAGUCACAGGUGCUGCCUAUAUACAAGCGGAGAGGAUCACACAAAAGCGUAAACAACUGUAGACAGGAUCAUGGAGGCCACCUUGAGGUCUGUCUGCACUUAAAGAUUAUUCUGAAUCCGCUGAAAAUUCUCUUCAACAUAUCAAGAAUCCCAGUGAACCACAAGCAGCAUAAACAGAAACCUCAUCAAGGCACUAUAGAAUUAAAUUUAUGAAAACCAGUGAUAAAGAGAAAAUCUUGAAGAUGAGAUUAAUCAUUGGUAUGUCAUCAAAAAUAAUGCACACCAGAAGAUGGUGGAAUGUCUUAAAAGUAUUACAAGAAAAACACUGUCAACCUAGAAUUUUGUAUCCAAUGAAAAUGCUCUUCAAAGAUGAAGGCAAAAUAAGGACAUUUCAGUUGAGCCAAAGCCAAGAGAAUUCAUUGCUAGUGAACUUCUACUACAAGGAAUGCUAAAUGAAGUGUUUUAGGCAUGAAGGAAAAGGAUACUAGAUGGACCCAUGAAUUACACAAAAGAAUGGUAAAUAUGUGAGUAAUAUAACAGACAUUUUUCUUAUUUGUAAUAUCUUUAAAAGAGAGAGAACUACUUAAAGUACAAAUAAAAACAGUAUAUUAUGGGAUUUAUAACAUUUAUAGAGGUAGAAUUUAUGAGCACAAUAGCAGAAAGAAUAGAGGAGAUAGGAUGCAAGUAUAUCAUUAAGAGAUUCUUACAUUGUGUGUUAAAUGCUGUAACAUUCAAAGGUAGAUGGUGAUAAGUUAAAGAUGCAUAUUGUAAAGCUUAGAGCAAUUGCUGAAAAAAAUUAAAAGGUGUGGGUAAUUUGUCAAUAGAGGAGAUAAGAGGGACUCAAAACAUAAUCCAAAGGAAGACGAGAAAAGAGGGGAAAAGGAACAAAGAAUAAAUAGGACAAAUGGAAAUAUAGGACUACUGUUGUUCCUCUGUUAGGUAAGAAACCACCAAAGGAAAAGCCUAAAACAUCUUACAUUUACCUCUUGAAACUGGAAUAAGAUAAAGAAUAAGUAAAUGAACAUAGUAUCCAAACUCCCACAAAUGGAAUUCUAAUAGCUUUUGUUGAUGAUAGCAUCAAUUGUAUUCUGAUUCUUUCAACAAUGAAAUCAAUUAUUUAUCUCAAUAAAAGAGAUUAUUUUGAUUCAGAAAUGCCUGCAACCUCGCACAAGUUGGAAAGAUUUGGAAGAAGUAACAGA
Long non-coding RNA from Nyctereutes procyonoides (raccoon dog), 1611 nucleotides. RefSeq lists it as uncharacterized. The transcript has 4 exons. The record is from RefSeq and is a predicted model, not a curated record. NCBI's taxonomy places the organism in Eukaryota, Metazoa, Chordata, Mammalia, Carnivora, Canidae.